CAACCCUCACUAUUUUCAUAUCAAACCCUAACACCGUUCAUUUCUUCCCCAAUUUUCAAUGUCAGAUCCAUACGAACGUGUAAAACUUGGUAGAUUAGCAUUCAAAGGAGGAACCCUAGCAACUCGAUCCAAAACAAUUGACAAGAAAAAAAAGAAAAAGAAAAUCAACAACAACAGCAAUAACCAAAACCCUAAUAUAGAAGACGAAACCCUAGACGGACAAAAUGAAAAACUCGUCGAUGAAUCGGAACCAUCGGAAUUGUUCACGAUUGACGCAGCGAAACGAAUGAAGUACGAUCAACUUUUUCCCGUUGAAGCUAAGAAAUUCGGUUAUGAACCUAAAAAGGAUGUUAAAUCUGUUGAAGAUGCCCUUGAUGAUCGUGUUAAGAAGAAAGCAGAUCGUUACUGUAAAUGAAGUAAUUGUAAUUAUGAAAAAUGUAAGUUUUUGGUCUCGGGAAUAUGCUUAAUUUUAAAUCAAAUUAUGACACUUUGGCUUGAGGAAAAAUGAUUGCCUUUGUUUGCAAAACCAUGAGGAAAAAUGAUUGCCGUUUGUGGAUCAACUCUGAAAAAAUGUAUCUUACACUAUGUGUACUCAUUUUGAUACAAGAUGCAAGAAAACAUUAAACGAAAGAUAACAUUGGCAUUAUGUGUGAAGACUUAUAUUUGAAGUGUGGAAACAUUAUGCAAACACAAAUAGAUGGUUCAACCAGUUGUAGAGAUUUAUAUACUGUAGAGAUGCCUUACAAACAUCAGACAGUGGUGUAGGAAACCACAGAUAUUCCACAUUGGUCUGCAACGUAUUAAAUUAUUAGUUACUGCUCAUUGAUUUUAUACUAGUCUCUUGUAUAUACAGCAAGGGUGUGUUUGAUUUAUUUCAAAACAUAAUGAUGUUAAAUGAGGUGGUAAUAUUUCGUCACCACAAGAUGUGUUUCACUUUGAAGAGAAAUGAGAUGAGAGAAAGUUCUAAGAAACAGAGGAAGAUUUGAUAUAUUUUUUGCUAUAAGAGAUAGAGAAAAAAGAAGUGGGGAUUGCGUUUGAAAGUACAAUUUUUAUGCCUCUAUUCAAAAAAUUCAUCAAAUCA
This is an RNA transcript of Cicer arietinum (chickpea), 1081 nucleotides long. RefSeq lists it as uncharacterized. Lineage: Eukaryota; Viridiplantae; Streptophyta; Magnoliopsida; Fabales; Fabaceae. The record is from RefSeq and is a predicted model, not a curated record.